This 399-nucleotide ribosomal RNA is filed under the name uncultured bacterium. RNAcentral's name for it is "bacterial SSU rRNA". It matches the Rfam family "Bacterial small subunit ribosomal RNA", at positions 976 to 1380 of the family's 1533-position model. The record is from RNAcentral.
AGGCCUUGACAUGGGAUGCAAAGAAGCAGAGAUGCUUUGGAGGCUAUCAUCCACACAGGUGGUGCAUGGUUGUCGUCAGUUCGUGUCGUGAGAUGUUGGGUUAAGUCCCGCAACGAACGCAACCCCUGUGAUAUGUUGCUACCAUUCAGUUGAGGACUCAUAUCAGACUGCCGGUGACAAACCGGAGGAAGGCGGGGAUGACGUCAAAUCAUCAUGCCCCCUAUGGCCUGGGCUACACACGUACUACAAUGGCGCCUGCAAAGGGAAGCGACCCUGCAAGGGGGAGCAAAUCCGAUAAAGGGCGUCCCAGUUCGGAUUGAAGUCUGCAACCCGGCUUCAUGAAGUUGGAAUCGCUAGUAAUCGCAGAUCAGCAUGCUGCGGUGAAUACGUUCUCGGGCC